UGCUCAACCUAGGAAAAGGGAAGAUGAAAGGCCUUCCUUUAGCCUUGGGAUAAGUCCACCAGCAUCUCAACCAACUCAGCCUUCCCAAGAGAGUGAUUCACAGCUUGAAAUCCUGGAAGAGGCGGUGGUAGAUGUUGGUGUGGCAGCAGCAUUAAAAUUUGUUGAAGGAACAUCUUCAGAAUUAACCUUAAUAGCAGCUCAAGUUUACAAAACCCUGUAGAAAAAUAAAAAAUCACGAACGAGCUGAUUGAAAAGUGUUAUCAUUGGAUGACACAUGUGAAAUAAGCAAAAGAUGGUACCAAUGAAUAUGAACCAAUAUUUGUCUUGAAACACGAGGGACUCUACGAGGGAUUAAGAGAAUAUUUCAUAUCUCUAAUGCCCGGAGAACAAGUGCAUGCCGUGGUGGUUAGUAUACACAACUUGAUUCUCAAUGAAAUAAAAACUAAGGGUAUCAAGAACAAAUAUACAUUGUGCUGAUGGAUAUUGUGAAUUUUAUCGUGGGAAUAUAUGGCGAGAACUACAUUGAUAAGAGCACAAACAAAGCCCACAUGUUUAAUAUUCAGCAGUAUGACCACUACUGCCAGUUUCUUGACAAAAGAAAACUUGCAUCGCAUCCAUUUAUAUUUGUCCCAAUUUGUAAUGGAGUGCAUUGGUGGUUAUGGAUUACUGAUGUAAACAAAAAGAAAUUCUAUGUCCUUGACCCAAUCAACAAGAAGCCAGAAGAAAUACAUGAUUCGUGAAAGGAAAUAAACAAAUUUGUUAUGAGGGUGUACGCUGGGGGGAAACCCUCAAUGGAGGAUGCACUGGGAGAAGAAGCAGAGUAUAUCCAAUUGAAUGGUCAAUGUACAAAGUAAGAAUAUUUCUUUUUUGUAGUACUAUUUUUAAUGUGUUUUAUUUUAUAUACUGUUGAUUGUAUUAUACUCAAUUCUUGCUUAGCUAUUAUUGUGAAAUAUUCGUGAUUAAAUGGCUCGAAAUAAUAGAUCCACAAAAAAUAAAAAGCGAGAAGAGAUAUAAAUAUAAAGCUUGGACACAAGUAAGUACUUUCUAAAUUAAUAAACUUCUUUCUUUUCUUAUUUCAUUCAGUUAAUUUGAUAUUGUAACUAGAGCUUUGAAGUUGGUUGUUACUCUGUUUAAUAGUUGUUUUGCAUGCAGAAAAUACUAUUUUUGUUGAUUGAAAAUUGAUCACCAUUUAUUCACCACAUAAACAAUUUUCGGUUCGGUGGCUCUUAUAAUUUUGAUUCACCGAGUGAAUGUUUUUCGGUUUGGUGGCUCUUAUAAUUUUGAUUCACCAAGUGAAUAUUUUUCGGUUCGGUGGCCUCCUUUUAAUUUGUUUAGGUUUAGGGUUACUGUGAUUCCAUUUUUACAGUAUAACUAGGGCUUUGAAUUAAAUUUGUUGUUAUUUAAUGUGAUUUUGAUUUACUUGAUAUUUAAUGUGUUCAGGAUGUAGGGUUAUUGUGAUUGCAUUUUUACAGUAUGAUUAGGAAUUUGAAUGAUAUUGUUCUUAUUUCAUUUGGGUUCAUUUCUUAUGUAACUAAUUCAUUUCAAUUGAAAUGGAGAAAGAAAUUGAUGACUCCAGAUACCAAUAUGGUCCAUAUUUUCUGUUUCAUGAAAUGAACAAAAUUAGAGACCAAGUGAUUUCAGAAUCUGAAGCAAUAAGACUCACCAAACCGUCUGCUUUCCUCUCCAGCCCUUAUUGUAAAUACACAUCUGGGGAUUUAGAUAGCAAAUAGCAUAUACUAGUUGUAAUUAACAAUAUUUUGUUUAACUUGUUUAAAGAGCAAA
Long non-coding RNA from Arachis stenosperma, 1782 nucleotides. RefSeq lists it as uncharacterized. The record is from RefSeq and is a predicted model, not a curated record. The transcript is spliced from 5 exons. NCBI's taxonomy places the organism in Eukaryota, Viridiplantae, Streptophyta, Magnoliopsida, Fabales, Fabaceae.